RNAcentral lists this ribosomal RNA (439 nucleotides) under uncultured bacterium. RNAcentral describes it as "partial 16S ribosomal RNA". It matches the Rfam family "Bacterial small subunit ribosomal RNA", at positions 339 to 795 of the family's 1533-position model. The record is from RNAcentral.
CUACGGGUGGCAGCAGUGAGGAAUAUUGCACAAUGGGGGGAACCCUGAUGCAGCAACGCCGCGUGGAGGAUGACGCAUUUCGGUGUGUAAACUCCUUUUAUAUGUCAAGAAAAUGGCGGUAGCAUAUGAAUAAGCACCGGCUAACUCCGUGCCAGCAGCCGCGGUAAUACGGAGGGUGCAAGCGUUACUCGGAAUCACUGGGCGUAAAGGACGCGUAGGCGGGUUGGAAAGUCAGGUGUGAAAUCCUACAGCUUAACUGUAGAACUGCACUUGAAACUUCUAAUCUAGAGUAUGGGAGGGGGAGAUGGAAUUAGUGGUGUAGGGGUAAAAUCCGUAGAUAUCACUAGGAAUACCUAAAGCGAAGGCGAUCUCCUGGAACAUUACUGACGCUAAGGCGUGAAAGCGUGGGGAGCAAUCAGGAUUAGAUACCCGAGUAGUC